This 378-nucleotide ribosomal RNA is filed under the name uncultured cyanobacterium. RNAcentral describes it as "bacterial SSU rRNA". It matches the Rfam family "Bacterial small subunit ribosomal RNA", at positions 376 to 770 of the family's 1533-position model. The record is from RNAcentral. Lineage: Bacteria; Bacillati; Cyanobacteriota.
CGCAAGCCUGACGGAGCAACGCCGCGUGGGGGAGGAAGGCCCUUGGGUUGUAAACCCCUUUUCUCAGGGAAGAAACCUGACGGUACCUGAGGAAUCAGCCUCGGCUAACUCCGUGCCAGCAGCCGCGGUAAUACGGAGGAGGCAAGCGUUAUCCGGAAUUACUGGGCGUAAAGCGUUCGUAGGGGGCUCGUCAAGUCUGCUGUCAAAGCUCGGAGCUCAACUCCGAAGGGGCAGUGGAAACUGGGGAGCUAGAGGGCGGCAGGGGCAGAAGGAAUUCCCGGUGUAGCGGUGAAAUGCGUAGAGAUUGGGAAGAACACCGGUGGCGAAAGCGCUCUACUGGGUCGCACCUGACCCUCAGGGACGAAAGCUAAGGUAGCG